RNAcentral lists this transfer RNA (72 nucleotides) under Opisthorchis viverrini. It matches the Rfam family "tRNA". From Rfam's summary of the family: Transfer RNA (tRNA) molecules are approximately 80 nucleotides in length. The record is from Rfam by way of RNAcentral. Lineage: Eukaryota; Metazoa; Platyhelminthes; Trematoda; Opisthorchiida; Opisthorchiidae.
GGCGAGGUAGCUCAGUGGUUAGAGCGCGAAUUUACUGACUGGAGGUUCUUGGUUCGAACCCAAACUCUGCCU